GAUCCUGGCUCAGGAUGAACGCUGGCGGCGUGCCUAACACAUGCAGGUCGAGCGAGAAACUCACGACAGACACUUCGGUUGAAGGAAUGAGUGGAAAGCGGCGGACGGGUGAGUAACGCGUAGGCAACCUGCCUCACACAGAGGGAUAGCCAUUGGAAACGAUGAUUAAAACCUCAUAAUGCCAUUUUAUCACAUGAGAAGAUGGCCAAAGAUUUAUCGGUGUGAGAUGGGCCUGCGUCUGAUUAGUUAGUUGGUGAGGUAACGGCCCACCAAGGCAACGAUCAGUAGCCGACCUGAGAGGGUGAUCGGCCACAUUGGAACUGAGACACGGUCCAAACUCCUACGGGAGGCAGCAGUGGGGAAUAUUGCACAAUGGGCGAAAGCCCUGAUGCAGCAACGCCGCGUGAAGGAUGAAGGCUUUCGGGUCGUAAACUUCUGUCCUUGGGGAAGAAAAAAUGACGGUACCCAUGGAGGAAGCCCCGGCUAACUACGUGCCAGCCGCCGC
RNAcentral lists this ribosomal RNA (505 nucleotides) under uncultured bacterium. Its description in RNAcentral is "bacterial SSU rRNA". It matches the Rfam family "Bacterial small subunit ribosomal RNA", at positions 15 to 518 of the family's 1533-position model. The record is from RNAcentral.